RNAcentral lists this ribosomal RNA (519 nucleotides) under Filifactor alocis. RNAcentral describes it as "bacterial SSU rRNA". It matches the Rfam family "Bacterial small subunit ribosomal RNA", at positions 379 to 926 of the family's 1533-position model. The record is from RNAcentral. Lineage: Bacteria; Bacillati; Bacillota; Clostridia; Peptostreptococcales; Filifactoraceae.
AACCCUGAUGCAGCAACGCCGCGUGAGUGAAGAAGGCUGCGUGCUAAAACUCUGUAUAGGGAAGAAAGAAUGACAGUACCCUAAAAGAAAGCCCCGGCUAACUACGUGCCAGCAGCCGCGGUAAUACGUAGGGGGCAAGCGUUAUCCGGAAUAACUGGGCGUAAAGGGUGCGCAGGUGGUUUAACAAGUUAGUGGUGAAAGGCAUAGGCUCAACCAAUGUAAGCCAUUAAAACUGUUUAACUUGAGUGCAGGAGAGGAAAGUGGAAUUCCUAGUGUAGCGGUGAAAUGCGUAGAUAUUAGGAGGAAUACCAGUGGCGAAGGCGACUUUCUGGACUGCAACUGACACUGAGGCACGAAAGCGUGGGGAGCAACAGGAUUAGAUACCCUGGUAGUCCACGCCGUAAACGAUGAGUACUAGGUGUCGGGUGAAGAACUCGGUGCCGAAGUUAACACAUUAAGUACUCCGCCUGGGGAGUACGCUCGCAAGAGUAAACUCAAAGGAAUUGACGGGACCCGCAC